Molecule: long non-coding RNA, 1475 nt
Filed under: Heterocephalus glaber (naked mole-rat)
Lineage: Eukaryota; Metazoa; Chordata; Mammalia; Rodentia; Bathyergidae
Description: lncRNA (ENSHGLG00000048209.1)
Source: RNAcentral
CUUCAGGCACAAAAGCACAACCCACCAGGCUGGGUGCCCACGAACCAUGGGGAGAGUUGCAGGCCGCAAGCCAGAGCCAAUGCCUAUCCCUGUGGGGACUCUCAGCUCACACACACCCCCUCACUGCCUGGCAGAGGGCCCAGAAGAGCCCCACAGUGGUGGUUGCUUCCUUCCUCACCAGUCACGGGGAUUGUGGCUCCUAUCCCCAAGCUGAGCCUGGGUCACACAGCUCACUGUGCCUGCUGCAGGAGCCCAGAGCCCAGCACCAGCAUGUGACCGGUGGUUUGUGUGCUGACAGCCCUGCUCUUCCUCCUAGUUCCCGCCAGGACUCUGGAUAAGAUGACACUGCUACCCCUGACUGUGGGGACCUGUGGGCCGCUACUGCACAUGUGAGGUGGGAGGAGAGUGGAUCUCCUUCAAAACUUCUGAGAGGCCCAGGUGAUUGAGCUGUGACAAGUGGCAGAGACAGGAGAGGCCCAGCUGUCUGGACAGUUGCCCACAUUCCAAUCUCAGGAUGCUUUGACUGCAAAGCUAGGAACCAGUAAAUCCAACAGCACCUGGCCUGGUGGCCAUGCUGGUGCUGUUCCUGCACUUGGCCCUGCAAUGGCUCAAAGGAACGGGACCCAAAAGAGACACGGCUUGCUUAACACCCCAUCUUAGCAACAUCAUGCAGCUCUUUCUGCAGUCACUGGCCUUUCCUCCUUAGCUGCCAGAACCCCACAUUGCAGAGGAAGCCUGUGCACAGUGAAGGGGAUGUGGAACCUGGGAGCCAGUCCCCAGCACUGUCACUGGGCCAUAGCUGCUGAGAGGAAAGGGCAGCCUGGCCAGAGUAAGCACAGUGGCCAUUGGGAGCCAUGGGCCUGGCCUGCGGCUCUGCAACUCUUCAAAUUAAGGAACCAACAAAGCAUCAGGUGAGAAAGCAGAUGCCAUGCCUGUGCAGAGCUCUACAAGGCAAGCGGUUGUUGUCAUUCUCAUGCCAUGGUGCCGUGCAGAUGUUGCAUGUGCAUGGUACAUGCAUGGAAGCCGUGAUUGGCAGGGGCCCAGAAAACCUGCAUCAUCUAUUCUUGUCCUUGGUCUGAGGCGCCUCUCACCUGUCUUACCAAUCUCACAUUUCUGGGGCUUCACUAUGGAAGCCUCUUCUGCUAUGCAGAAAUCCGGGUGUCUGUGGGGGCUGGUUCUCCUCAGAUGGGUGCCCUCCUUGUGCGUGACAACAGAUGAGCUAUAUUUCAAAACAAAGUGCUGUGUUAUAAUCAUCUGCCUGAAUUCCCAGGGUAUCUUUUACCUGACUUGAUAACAAUGUUCUUCAUUAGCAGCGUUUGUUAACUGAUAACCUGAAGCAGUAACUUGGUAUUCAUAAGCAAUUUUCUGUAUGUAAGAUAGAAUAAACCAUCUUGUAAGGGAUCUGUUAAUUGAUUUGCUUCUUUUAGCAGCAUUUUAAUUAAGGCAUCUGGUUUUGGAGGGCAGAAAUAGUUGUG